RNAcentral lists this ribosomal RNA (447 nucleotides) under uncultured bacterium. RNAcentral describes it as "bacterial SSU rRNA". It matches the Rfam family "Bacterial small subunit ribosomal RNA", at positions 355 to 825 of the family's 1533-position model. The record is from RNAcentral.
UGGGGAAUUGUUCACAAUGGGCGCAAGCCUGAUCCAGCCAUGCCGCGUGAGUGAUGAAGGCCCUAGGGUUGUAAAGCUCUUUCACCGGUGAAGAUAAUGACGGUAACCGGAGAAGAAGCCCCGGCUAACUUCGUGCCAGCAGCCGCGGUAAUACGAAGGGGGCUAGCGUUGUUCGGAUUUACUGGGCGUAAAGCGCACGUAGGCGGACUUUUAAGUCAGGGGUGAAAUCCCGGGGCUCAACCCCGGAACUGCCUUUGAUACUGGAAGUCUUGAGUAUGGUAGAGGUGAGUGGAAUUCCGAGUGUAGAGGUGAAAUUCGUAGAUAUUCGGAGGAACACCAGUGGCGAAGGCGGCUCACUGGACCAUUACUGACGCUGAGGUGCGAAAGCGUGGGGAGCAAACAGGAUUAGAUACCCUCGUAGUCCCUGAGCGGGCUGGCAAGGCGCAU